AGCGCGAAGGAGGCAGCGACUUUCCGAUGCCAUUCCGGGCGUUUUCAGUGUCCUUUGGCGGUGAGGUUGGUCUUUUUUUGACCGGUAAGUUAAGAGCUUUCUUUUAGGAGUAGCAGUGUCGGUAUUGGUAGUCGGAGGAAGGACUUCCGACGAGGUGAAGGCAGCCAAAAUUUUAAAUUUUUACGGCGAGUUCCUGUGAGGGAUGGCCGAUCAAAGGACAUAUCCGGAAUCCCCUCAGCUCAAGCUUUUCAAUGGCAUAAGUUUCGUUGUGAUUGAACUCCGUUUGACAAUCGACGGCCGAGAUCGUCCGUAAAGCUUUUCGGAUGAUCGGGGGUCGGAUUGGAAGAUCGGAAGUUGGAAUCAUCAUCAACGCGUUGUGUCGAGCCCGUAGGCGCGUUCGGAUCGUCGAUCGGACUCCACUGGAUGCCAGUUAACCGAGUGAUCAAGCGUCUCGAUAAAUCCGUCAGUUCGGCUCACUCCACCCGAAGCAUCCGUGCAGGGCUAGGAGGUCAUCAGAACUACGUUGUUAGCUUUUAUGUGGUUCUUUUCUCUAGCAGCCCGAUUCCUUCAUCUUCGGGUUUAAAGUAACUUUUUAGAUUGGUAUGUUUGAUCUUUUAAAAAUUCUAGAAUCUCCGCAGUAGAAAUUUCAAAUUUAUAAUUUUGUAAUUUUAUGUAAAUUCAGGUUUUGUUUAAUUAUGCUGGCAGACUGAAUUUAAUAUAUAGUAUCUAAUGAUUUAAGAUUAAUUGUGGAAAAGUGUAAAUGGACAGAGUUCGGGUUAUAUUUGGUUUGAGUUAGAGAAUGGUCAAGCUUACUACGAGAUUUGUUGGCUUUACGCCUACAAAUUUCCUAGUGCGGUCACGGGCCCUAUAGAUCGGGUCGUGACAAAAAUAACUAUAGUAUUUCUCAAAAGUAAAUAAAAAAUUCUGUAGAAUUUGCAAUUAUUUUUCUUUUUGUAAAAUUUGAUAUGAUUAGAUCGACAUUAUUUUAUUUGAUUUUUUAAUAAGACAUAUUUCAAAAUUUAGAAAAAACUUGCAUGCCUUUUUCUUUUUGUAAAAUUCGAUAUCAAUUAGAUUGGCAUCAAUUUAUUUUAUUUUUGAAAGAUGCUAAACAUUUCAUUAUUUUUUGUUUCAUUUUUUAUCACUUGAUGUGACAUCUACUACUUUUAUAAAAUUACCCAUUAAUUUUUAAAUAUUAAAUAAUAAUUUUAUAAAGGUAGUAAAGCCACAUCAGAUAGGUAAGAGAUAGAACAUAAAAUAUGGAUUAUGUAGCAUUGCUUUUUAUUUUUUAUAAAAUAUAUUGCAUAACUAAAAAAUUACUAUAAAAAAAAAUAUAUAAGGAUUCAAGUAAAUUUGUAAAAUUAUAGAAAAAACUACAAAAAUUUAAAAAUUAUUAUAAAUAAUACCAAUAAAAACACCUAUCAAUAUCAUGCAUAAUCCUUAUGGUUGGAGAUGUCAAAACACUAUCUCAAGAGUUUUAACGCAUAUCAGUGUCUUGCAUAAUUCUUACGGAUGGUAAACUACUACCUCAAAAUUUUAAUGCAACCGCAUGCCUAAAGUUUGAACUCGAAACUUUAGUUAAACUGAAAGAAAUCCUACCAUCUCAUUUACAAGCUAUUAGAUAAUUUAAAUAAGAUUUUAAGAUUGAGUUGAGUUUUUUUUUUUUUUUUUUUUUUUUUUUUUUUAGUUUUGAAAGCAACCAAAUUGAAUUCACAAAAUUGUACCAUCUCCGUUAUAACCUAGAUGUUCAAGUAAUGCUGGGUGAAAGAUAGAAACGGGAGAAGAAGAAGUGGCGUGGCUAGUUAAGGUCACCCUUUAUAUAUACUUCUUUACCUUGUCACGUUUAUUGAAGAAUUUUUUUAAAAGCAUUAUUGAAGAACUAUUAAAAUAUAUAUUAAUUAACUAUAAGAUACUUUAAUUCUUUAUCAAUUACAAAAUUGACCAGUUCGUUCAUUAAAUAAUAUAAGAAAAUAAAAUAUUUCUAUAAAAACUGUAUUCUACAACUAAUCUAAAAUCUCAUCAAGUAUAAAUUAUGUCUAAAUAAUGCAAACAGGAAAAAGAAAGAAAAAUGCAACUCGGU
Molecule: long non-coding RNA, 2077 nt
Organism: Ricinus communis (castor bean)
Lineage: Eukaryota; Viridiplantae; Streptophyta; Magnoliopsida; Malpighiales; Euphorbiaceae
Exons: 3
Source: RefSeq, a predicted model, not a curated record